UAUCCGCCUGGGGACUACGAGCAUCAGCUUAAAACCCAAAGGACUUGGCGGUGCUUUAGACCCACCUAGAGGAGCCUGUUCUAGAACCGAUAAUCCUCGUUAAACCUCACCUUUUCUUGUUCCCCCCGCCUAUAUACCGCCGUCGUCAGCCUACCCUAUGAAGGCCCCAAAGUAGGCAAAAUUGGCACAGCCCAAAACGUCAGGUCGAGGUGUAGCGAAUGAAAAGGGAAGAAAUGGGCUACAUUCAUUAUGUUAAUAAUGCACACGGAUGGUAACCUGAAACAAUUACCUGAAGGAGGAUUUAGCAGUAAGCAGGAAAUAGAGUGUCCUACUGAAACUGGCCCUGAAGCGCGCACACACCGCCCGUCACUCUCCCCGAAAUAUCGUAUCAUCAUACUUAAUAAGUUAAACCUCAAAAGGGGAGGCAAGUCGUAACAUGGUAAGUGUACCGGAAGGUGCACUUGGACAAACCAGAGUAUAGCUAAACAACGAAUAGCAUCUCCCUUACACUGAGAAGAUAUCCGUGCAAACCGGAUUACCCUGACGCCCAGCAGCUAGCCCAAACAACUAAAACAAACAAAUCCCCAUUAAUUACCCCUCACUCACUAAAAACCAAAAAUAAAGCAUUCUACCCCUCUUAGUAUAGGAGAUAGAAAAGAACCUAGGCGCAAUAGAGAAAGUACCGCAAGGGAAAGCUGAAAGAGAAAUG
Molecule: ribosomal RNA, 709 nt
Filed under: Cheilio inermis
Lineage: Eukaryota; Metazoa; Chordata; Actinopteri; Labriformes; Labridae
Description: partial 12S ribosomal RNA
Rfam family: Bacterial small subunit ribosomal RNA (bases 1-477)
Source: RNAcentral